Molecule: ribosomal RNA, 254 nt
Filed under: uncultured bacterium
Lineage: Bacteria
Description: partial 16S ribosomal RNA
Rfam family: Bacterial small subunit ribosomal RNA
Source: RNAcentral
UACGAAGGGGGCUAGCGUUGCUCGGAAUCACUGGGCGUAAAGCGCACGUAGGUGGAUCACUAAGUCAGGGGUGAAAUCCUGGAGCUCAACUCCAGAACUGCCUUUGAUACUGAUGAUCUUCGAGUCCGGGAGAGGUGGGUGGAACUGCGAGUGUAGAGGUGAAAUUCGUAGAUAUUCGCAAGAACACCAGUGGCGAAGGCGGCUCACUGGCCCGGUACUGACACUGAGGUGCGAAAGCGUGGGGAGCAAACAGG